RNAcentral lists this non-coding RNA (23 nucleotides) under Arabidopsis thaliana (thale cress). Lineage: Eukaryota; Viridiplantae; Streptophyta; Magnoliopsida; Brassicales; Brassicaceae. The record is from RNAcentral.
AUAACAAGGAAUGUACGUAUAUA